UGUCCAGUAACUCCUAUCCCUACCUCCCAGUGGUGCCGCCUAGGGUACGAGUAACCGUAGGGAAGAUCGGGUAACCAACCCCCCGUGUGAACUUUGGUCGCAUGCUGACAGGGAAGG
Molecule: ribozyme, 117 nt
Filed under: Aedes aegypti (yellow fever mosquito)
Lineage: Eukaryota; Metazoa; Arthropoda; Insecta; Diptera; Culicidae
Description: drz-agam-1 ribozyme
Rfam family: drz-agam-1 ribozyme
Source: Rfam by way of RNAcentral